RNAcentral lists this long non-coding RNA (770 nucleotides) under Homo sapiens (human). Its description in RNAcentral is "novel transcript, antisense to SVIP". The record is from RNAcentral. Lineage: Eukaryota; Metazoa; Chordata; Mammalia; Primates; Hominidae.
CGCCACAGCCGCCUUUCGACAACUUUUUGUUACAAAAGUGGAGAUCUACACGGAGGCGACGGCCUAGGUCGCUCUGACAGGACCCAACGACCCUCCUGACGCGUCCACCCGUCCUCGCUAGCAGGGUCCCCCAGCGGGCUCUCGACCUGCGCCACCAGAGUUCCACUCUUUUUGUCGACAAUAAUAUGGCGCCCAAACACGUGGGGCCUCAGAGAAGACUCUGGAUCCGGAAGGAGUAUCCCAAAACCAGAGCUAAGGUACCAGCUGGAGCCCACUGAAGCCUCACCGAGUUUGGGCUUCUCCUCCUGUGGAACUGGAAACCAAAAUCAUGGUAUUUUGAAAACCAGAGGUAUGAAUCUCCCUCGUUUGGCAUCCCACUGGGCCUGGACCUGUUUCACUGCUAAUGUUCUGCUGCCAAAACUAUACAAGCUGCCUGGACUAUUGCAGAAGAGCUGAAGAAGUCCACAACCUGGAAACACCAAGACAACCAGACAAAAAAAGCCCUGAAACAAAAGUUUGCUGUUUCUAGCCAAAGAAUCAAGAAAGGAGCAGCCUAGCAUGAAACAAACUUGUAAGCAAUGGAAAAGAAAAUUACCAAAAACAGAGAAGGAUAUUACAUGAUAAUAAAAGUGUCAAUCCAACAAAGAGAGAACAUUCCUAAACGUGCAUGCGCCAAACAAUGAUGCUGCAAAAAAAUGAGAAUCAAAAACUGACAGAAGUGAAAGAAGAAGUCAACAAAUCAGCACUUAUAGUUUGAUACUUCAACAACC